GGCGGACGGGUGAGUAAUGCGUAGGAAUCUGCCCAUGUAGUGGGGGACAACCUGGGGAAACUCAGGCUAAUACCGCAUAAGCCCUACGGGGGAAAGCGGGGGAUCUUCGGACCUCGCGCUAUUGGAUGAGCCUACGUCGGAUUAGCUUGUUGGUAGGGUAAUGGCCUACCAAGGCGACGAUCCGUAGCUGGUCUGAGAGGACGAUCAACCACACUGGGACUGAGACACGGCCCAGACUCCUACGGGAGGCAGCAGUGGGGAAUAUUGGACAAUGGGGGCAACCCUGAUCCAGCAAUGCCGCGUGUGUGAAGAAGGCCUGCGGGUUGUAAAGCACUUUCAGUAGGGAAGAAAAGCCUGGGGUUAAUACCCCCGGGUCUUGACGUUACUUACAGAAGAAGCACCGGCUAACUCCGUGCCAGCAGCCGCGGUAAUACGGAGGGUGCGAGCGUUAAUCGGAAUUACUGGGCGUAAAGCGCGCGUAGGCGGUCAGGUCAGUC
This 497-nucleotide ribosomal RNA is filed under the name uncultured Ectothiorhodospiraceae bacterium. RNAcentral describes it as "bacterial SSU rRNA". It matches the Rfam family "Bacterial small subunit ribosomal RNA", at positions 97 to 589 of the family's 1533-position model. The record is from RNAcentral. Lineage: Bacteria; Pseudomonadati; Pseudomonadota; Gammaproteobacteria; Chromatiales; Ectothiorhodospiraceae.